This 512-nucleotide ribosomal RNA is filed under the name uncultured Bacillota bacterium. RNAcentral's name for it is "bacterial SSU rRNA". It matches the Rfam family "Bacterial small subunit ribosomal RNA", at positions 355 to 858 of the family's 1533-position model. The record is from RNAcentral. Lineage: Bacteria; Bacillati; Bacillota.
UAGGGAAUCUUCCGCAAUGGACGAAAGUCUGACGGAGCAACGCCGCGUGAGUGAUGAAGGUUUUCGGAUCGUAAAGCUCUGUUGUUAGGGAAGAACAAGUACCGUCGAAUAGGGCGGUACCUUGACGGUACCUAACCAGAAAGCCACGGCUAACUACGUGCCAGCAGCCGCGGUAAUACGUAGGUGGCAAGCGUUGUCCGGAAUUAUUGGGCGUAAAGCGCGCGCAGGUGGUUCCUUAAGUCUGAUGUGAAAGCCCACGGCUCAACCGUGGAGGGUCAUUGGAAACUGGGGAACUUGAGUGCAGAAGAGGAAAGUGGAAUUCCAAGUGUAGCGGUGAAAUGCGUAGAUAUUUGGAGGAACACCAGUGGCGAAGGCGACUUUCUGGUCUGUAACUGACACUGAGGCGCGAAAGCGUGGGGAGCAAACAGGAUUAGAUACCCUGGUAGUCCACGCCGUAAACGAUGAGUGCUAAGUGUUAGGGGGUUUCCGCCCCUUAGUGCUGCAGCUAACGC